Molecule: ribosomal RNA, 35 nt
Filed under: Pythium aphanidermatum
Lineage: Eukaryota; Oomycota; Peronosporomycetes; Pythiales; Pythiaceae
Description: partial 18S ribosomal RNA
Source: RNAcentral
UUUCCUGUAUGUGAACCUGCGCGCAAGUUGCAUUA